GAUCAUGGCUUAGGAUGAACGCUAGCUACAGGCUUAACACAUGCAAGUCGAGGGGAAACGACAUCGAAAGCUUGCUUUUGAUGGGCGUCGACCGGCGCACGGGUGAGUAACGCGUAUCCAACCUGCCCAUCACUUGGGAAUAACCUUGCGAAAGUAAGACUAAUACCCAAUGAUAUCUCUAGAAGACAUCUGAAAGAGAUUAAAGAUUCAUCGGUGAUGGAUGGGGAUGCGU
Molecule: ribosomal RNA, 232 nt
Filed under: uncultured bacterium
Lineage: Bacteria
Description: partial 16S ribosomal RNA
Rfam family: Bacterial small subunit ribosomal RNA
Source: RNAcentral